Molecule: ribosomal RNA, 253 nt
Filed under: uncultured bacterium
Lineage: Bacteria
Description: partial 16S ribosomal RNA
Rfam family: Bacterial small subunit ribosomal RNA
Source: RNAcentral
UACGGAGGGUGCAAGCAUUAAUCGGAUUUAUUGGGCGUAAAGGGCGCGUAGGCGGCCAUAUAAGUCAGAUGUGAAAUCCCGGGGCUCAACCCCGGAACACAUUUGAAACUGUAUGACUAGAGGGUAGGCGGAGAAAACGGAACUCCACAUGUAGCGGUGAAAUGCGUAGAUAUGUGGAAGAACACCCGUGGCGAAGGCGGCUCUCUGGAACGCAACUGACGCUGAGACGCGAAAGCGUGGGGAGCAAACAGGG